AUGAACGCUGGCGGCGUGCCUAAUCCAUGCAGGUCGAGCGAACGGACGAGAAGCUUGCUUUUCUGAUGUUAGCGGCGGACGGGUGAGUAACACGUGGAUAACCUACCUAUAAGACUGGGCUAACUUCGGGAAACCGUAGCUAAUACCGGAUAAUAUUUUGAACAGCAUGGUUCAAAAGUGAAAGACGGUCUUGCUGUCACUUAUAGAUGGAUCCGCGCUGCAUUAGCUAGUUGGUAAGGUAACGGCUUACCAAGGCAACGAUGCAUAGCCGGCCUGGGAGGGUGAUCAGCCACACUGGAACUGAGACACGGUCCAGACUCCUACGGGAGGCAGCAGUAGGGAAUCUUGCGCAAUGGGCGAAAGCCUGACGGAGCAACGCCGCGUGAGUGAUGAAGGUCUUCGGAUCGUAAAACUCUGUUAUUAGGGAAGAACAUAUGUGUAAGUAACUGUGCACAUCUUGACGGUACCGAAUCAGAAAGCAACGGCUAACUACGUG
Molecule: ribosomal RNA, 496 nt
Filed under: uncultured bacterium
Lineage: Bacteria
Description: partial 16S ribosomal RNA
Rfam family: Bacterial small subunit ribosomal RNA
Source: RNAcentral